This 506-nucleotide ribosomal RNA is filed under the name uncultured bacterium. RNAcentral's name for it is "partial 16S ribosomal RNA". It matches the Rfam family "Bacterial small subunit ribosomal RNA", at positions 29 to 523 of the family's 1533-position model. The record is from RNAcentral.
AGUGAACGCUGGCGGUAGGCCUAACACAUGCAAGUCGAACGGCAGCACAGGAGAGCUUGCUCUCUGGGUGGCGAGUGGCGGACGGGUGAGGAAUACAUCGGAAUCUACUUUUUCGUGGGGGGUAACGUAGGGAAACUUACGCUAAUACCGCAUACGACCUACGGGUGAAAGCAGGGGAUCUUCGGACCUUGCGCGAUUGAAUGAGCCGAUGUCGGAUGAGCUAGUUGGCGGGGUAAAGGCCCACCAAGGCGACGAUCCGUAGCUGGUCUGAGAGGAUGAUCAGCCACACGGGAACUGGGACACGGUCCAGACUCCUACGGGAGGCAGCAGUGGGGAAUAUUGGACAAUGGGCGCAAGCCUGAUCCAGCCAUACCGCGUGGGUGAAGAAGGCCUUCGGGUUGUAAAGCCCUUUUGUUGGGAAAGAAAUCCAGCUGGUUAAUACCCGGUUGGGAUGACGGUACCCAAAGAAUAAGCACCGGCUAACUUCGUGCCAGCCGCCGCCGUAA